GCCAGCCUCUUUAAUUGGACCAUGGAAGGUCACAGGGGACCAGGGCUGGGAACUCAGUCCCAGUUCAACUAGGGACUUCUGGAAGUAUCCCAAUCUUCUGGAAAUCCCGGUGAACCAGGGAAGCUCCAGGCAGGCACCAGUGGAACCAACCUGUGGAUGGAGGCCACUGUGUCCAGGCCAGACCCACCCUGUCAGGGUCGGUGGGAUUUCUCCGAGAGAGACUAUAGGGGUUCACUUGGAGUUGGAGGGUGUUUCUCAGCCCCUCCUCACUCUGGGGAGGCCUGUGGCGAGAGGCACAUGACUCAGUGUUCACUUCCUGAGGCCACUUGGAAUGGACGUCUUAGAAGAUUUGCUCGGGAGCAAAGCGGGAAUUGACUUUUCUGUUUGGAGCUGAGAAACGGGUCCCUUGAGGAUGCCAGAAGCAAGGGGAUCUUCCCAGCCGACCUCCUCCUCUUGCGUUGCUCAUGCAGGCAUUGAACAGUUUCGCUCGUUCCCCAUGGGUCACCCUCGGAGGCAGGCUCUGAAG
Molecule: long non-coding RNA, 526 nt
Filed under: Homo sapiens (human)
Lineage: Eukaryota; Metazoa; Chordata; Mammalia; Primates; Hominidae
Description: HSALNT0001434
Source: RNAcentral